Molecule: non-coding RNA, 75 nt
Organism: Myotis davidii
Lineage: Eukaryota; Metazoa; Chordata; Mammalia; Chiroptera; Vespertilionidae
Source: Rfam
GGCGGUUCUCAGGUGACGCACCCUGGAAUUGGGCUCCCUCCUCUCUGGUUCGGGGUGUAGCACUCAAGAACCACA